GCCGACCUAGCUCAACGGUAGAGCACGGCUUUCGUAAAGCCGAGGUUCAGGGUUCGAAUCCCUGGGUCGGCU
Molecule: transfer RNA, 72 nt
Filed under: Planctomycetes bacterium ADurb.Bin126
Lineage: Bacteria; Pseudomonadati; Planctomycetota
Also listed under: 1 other name
Description: tRNA-Thr
Rfam family: tRNA
About the family: Transfer RNA (tRNA) molecules are approximately 80 nucleotides in length. Their secondary structure includes four short double-helical elements and three loops (D, anti-codon, and T loops).
Source: RNAcentral